This 338-nucleotide ribosomal RNA is filed under the name Varanus mertensi. RNAcentral describes it as "partial 12S ribosomal RNA". Lineage: Eukaryota; Metazoa; Chordata; Lepidosauria; Squamata; Varanidae. The record is from RNAcentral.
UGCAACAGAGCAGGUAUCAGGCCCAACAAUGUUAGCCCAUUACACCUUGCCAAGCCACAUCCCCACGGAUUAUCAGCAGUGACUAAUAUUAGGCAAUGAGUACUCCAAACUCGACCUAGCUAAAACCUCCUUGGCCGGCAAAUCUCGUGCCAGCAGCCGCGGUUACACGGGAGACCAAAGAUAACUUCCUAACGGCGUAAAGAGUGACCACAGAUUCCCCCACCUGUCACCGGACCCCAAAAUCCUAUCUUAGAGAUGAAAUCCCAAGAUAUUCAGAACCCCUAAACACCCAUAAUCAGGCUAUCUAACUCACGAAAACCAGGUCACAAACUAGGAUU